This 425-nucleotide ribosomal RNA is filed under the name uncultured bacterium. Its description in RNAcentral is "bacterial SSU rRNA". It matches the Rfam family "Bacterial small subunit ribosomal RNA", at positions 360 to 776 of the family's 1533-position model. The record is from RNAcentral.
AAUUGUUCGCAAUGGGCGAAAGCCUGACGACGCAACGCCGCGUGGAGGAUGAAGAAUUUCGGUUCGUAAACUCCUUUCGACCGAGAUGAAUACUCAUGGACCUAACACGUCCGUGAGCUGACAGUAUCCAGAGAAGAAGCCCCGGCUAACUCUGUGCCAGCAGCCGCGGUAAUACAGGGGGGGCAAGCGUUGUUCGGAAUUACUGGGCGUAAAGGGUUCGUAGGUGGCCACUUAAGUCAGACGUGAAAUCCCUCAGCUUAACUGGGGAACUGCGUCUGAUACUGAGUGGCUUGAGUGCAGGAGAGGGAUGCGGAAUUCCAGGUGUAGCGGUGAAAUGCGUAGAUAUCUGGAGGAACACCGGUGGCGAAGGCGGCAUCCUGGACUGUAACUGACACUGAGGAACGAAAGCCAGGGGAGCAAACGGG